Molecule: ribosomal RNA, 467 nt
Filed under: uncultured bacterium
Lineage: Bacteria
Description: partial 16S ribosomal RNA
Rfam family: Bacterial small subunit ribosomal RNA
Source: RNAcentral
GGCGAACGCUGGCGGCGUGCUUAACACAUGCAAGUCGAACGGAAAGGCCCUGCUUUUGUGGGGUGCUCGAGUGGCGAACGGGUGAGUAACACGUGAGUAACCUGCCCUUGACUUUGGGAUAACUUCAGGAAACUGGGGCUAAUACCGGAUAGGAGCUCCUGCUGCAUGGUGGGGGUUGGAAAGUUUCGGCGGUUGGGGAUGGACUCGCGGCUUAUCAGCUUGUUGGUGGGGUAGUGGCUUACCAAGGCUUUGACGGGUAGCCGGCCUGAGAGGGUGACCGGCCACAUUGGGACUGAGAUACGGCCCAGACUCCUACGGGAGGCAGCAGUGGGGAAUAUUGCACAAGGGGCGGAAGCCUGAUGCAGCAACGCCGCGUGCGGGAUGACGGCCUUCGGGUUGUAAACCGCUUUCGCCUGUGACGAAGCGUGAGGGACGGUAAUGGGUAAAGAAGCACCGGCUAACUACGU